AAAGAUUAAGCCAUGCAUGUCUAAGCACAUGCCUUAAUACGGUGAAGCCGCGAAUAGCUCAUUACAACAGCCACCGUUUACUAGAAUAUAGUUAUCCUACUUGGAUAACUGUGGCAAUUCUAGAGCUAAUACAUGCAAAAAAGCUCUGCCCGCAAGGAACGAGCGCAUUUAUUAGAAUAAAAACCAAUCGGGUUUCGGCCCGUAAUUUGGUGAAUCUGAAUAACUUUGCCAAUCGCACAGUCCUAGUACUGGCGAUGUAUCUUUCAAGUGUCUGCCUUAUCAACUUUCGAUGGUAGGUUAUACGCCUACCAUGGUAGUAACGGGUAACGGAGAAUAAGGGUUCGACUCCGGAGAGGGAGCCUGAGAAACGGCUACCACAUCCAAGGAAGGCAGCAGGCGCGCAAAUUACCCACUUCCAGAACGGAGAGGUAGUGACGAAAAAUAACGAGACAGUCCUCUUCGAGGUCUGUCAUCGGAAUGGGUACAAUUUAAAUCCUUUAACGAGGAUCUAUUGGAGGGCAAGUCUGGUGCCAGCAGCCGCGAUAAUUCCAGCUCCAAUAGCGUAUAUUAAAGUUGUUGCGGUUAAAACGCUCGUAGUUGGAUCUGCGGCCUCGGAGAACGGUCCCCCGAAAGGGUGGUCACUGUCUCUCCUAGCCUAAAUUCGAGUCGUCUCUAGGUGCUCUUUACCGAGUGCUUAGAGUGACUAGAACGUUUACUUUGAAAAAGUUAGAGUGCUUAAAGCAGGCGAAAUAGCCUGAAUAAGGUGCAUGGAAUAAUGGAAUAGGACCUCGGUUCUAUUUUGUUGGUUUUCGGAACCCGAGGUAAUGAUUAAGAGGAACAGACGGGGGCAUUCGUAUUCCGGCGCUAGAGGUGAAAUUCUUGGACCGCCGGAAGACGGACGACUGCGAAAGCAUUUGCCAAGAAUG
RNAcentral lists this ribosomal RNA (926 nucleotides) under Aporcelaimellus cf. paraobtusicaudatus JH-2004. RNAcentral describes it as "SSU rRNA". It matches the Rfam family "Eukaryotic small subunit ribosomal RNA", at positions 39 to 966 of the family's 1831-position model. Lineage: Eukaryota; Metazoa; Nematoda; Enoplea; Dorylaimida; Aporcelaimidae. The record is from RNAcentral.